AUGCUCAAUUUAGCAUCACAUACACUAACAUUGGAACAAUACAGAGAAGAUUAGCACACCCCAGGCGCAAGGAUGACAUGAAAAUUUGUGGAGCGUUCCAUAUUUUU
This is a small nuclear RNA of Dipodomys spectabilis (banner-tailed kangaroo rat), 107 nucleotides long. Lineage: Eukaryota; Metazoa; Chordata; Mammalia; Rodentia; Heteromyidae. The record is from RefSeq and is a predicted model, not a curated record.